RNAcentral lists this unclassified non-coding RNA (290 nucleotides) under uncultured fungus. Its description in RNAcentral is "partial contains small subunit ribosomal RNA, internal transcribed spacer 1, and 5.8S ribosomal RNA". The stretch from base 1 to 73 matches the Rfam family "Eukaryotic small subunit ribosomal RNA", at positions 1759 to 1831 of the family's 1831-position model. The record is from RNAcentral. Lineage: Eukaryota; Fungi.
GCAAACUUGGUCAUUUAGAGGAAGUAAAAGUCGUAACAAGGUUUCCGUAGGUGAACCUGCGGAAGGAUCAUUAGUGAAUAUUAGCGCAUCUCCUUAAAAACGAGAGCGUGACCUCCACUUCUAACUCUGUGCAUUUUUUUUGGCGGUUUUUUAAAGGACGGGGUAACCUGAACUUUAUUGGCCGCGGCUCAUUUUAAAACACUAGUUAAAGUAUGUUUACGAAAUUAUCGAAACAAAAAAAAACUUUCAACAACGGAUCUCUUGGCUCUCGCAUCGAUGAAGAACGCAGC